Molecule: long non-coding RNA, 3078 nt
Organism: Alexandromys fortis (reed vole)
Lineage: Eukaryota; Metazoa; Chordata; Mammalia; Rodentia; Cricetidae
Exons: 4
Source: RefSeq, a predicted model, not a curated record
UAUAACCAAGCUCUCUCUGCAUGGCACAUGGCGUAUUUGUCUGUCUCCCACCUGCCAUGGUCUCCCACCUCCCACAGGGUCCUGUGGCCAUGAAACUUUCAGUAUUACCAUCCUAAAAAUAUCUUUUUAGGCCUUAAAACAUUCUUUUAUGUUUCUAAACCUUAUAAACUUUACAGCUCUUAUGUAAGUUUCUUUUUUGAAUUUGGUAACAAGGAAAACUAUAACUAAUCGUCUUCAACUCCAGUAGAAACCUGAGGAUAUAUUACCUGAGUAAACAGGAAGUACAAAGCAAGCAACUUCCAAAACUAUAGCAAUCACAGAAACAGCAUUUCCUGACCAUCCUUGUGAUAGUGUGAAUAAAAUGUGUUCCUCCAGGCUCAUGUGUUUGAAUACUUGGGCCCCAGUUGGUGGAACUUUUUUGGAAGGAUAAGGAGGUGUGGUCUUAUUGAAGAAGGUGUGUCUCUAGGGGCAGGCUUUGGAAUUUCCAAAGACUGGCCAUUCCCAGUAGGCUCUCUCUGCUUAUGAAUCAAGAUGUAAGACCUUGUCAGUUCAGGCCAUCAUGUGUUUGCUCUGCCACCAUGGACUCUAACGCUCUGAAACUGGAAGUCCAGUUAGAUGUUUUCUUUUGGAAAUUCUCUUGAUUGUGUUGUUUGGACUCAGCAACAGGAAAGUAACUAAGGCAGCCUUCUUUUGUCUUGAUUCCAGAAAUUCUUGUUGUGCAGUUGAAUAUCACAGUGGUAAAGGGAUGGGAGGAAACCAUCACAAGUGGGUUGUUGCUUCUGAGUUUUUCAGAAUAAAAAUGUUAGAGCAAAGAACAUGGAACCCAACACCUGCAUUAAGUAGAGAAAUUAAAUAGGAGAGGAAAGGCUCAAAGUCUCUUCGUUACUUAAAGAGAAAGAACAUUCAAUCUCUGCUCAAACACUACUUGAAAUUCAGCAAAGAUGGAAUCCAUUGCUAGUUAAAUACCUAGCUGAUCUGAGCAAUUAGCUAACUUUAUAUCUAGAUAAAACGUGCCCUUGUAUUUUCUGUGCUAAAUGUUUUUGUUGUUGGAGUUUUCUAUGGUGAUACAUUGCUUUUAGAACAUAAUUUUACUUUAUAAUCCUUUUAGAUUGAUUUGUCUUAAAGUUCUGAUAAACACACACACACACUAAACAGCUUCUUGCCCAUCUUUUCUCUUUUAAAGUUUUAUUCACUCAAUUUUUUAAUGUGUAUGGGUGUAUGUCUGUACCACUUUGUGCCUGGUGUCUUCACAGGCCAGAGGAAUGCACUGGGAUCCCCUGCAGCUACAGUUAUAGAUGGUUGUGAACCACCAUGUGCGUGCUGGGAUCAGAACCUGGGUCUUUUGGAAGAAGAGUCAGUGCUCUUAACCGUUGAACCACCUCUCCAACCCCUCCCUUCAUCUUUUCCAUCUCAGUCAAAUCUGAAUCUGCUCUUAUUGUCUCUUUGGGCAACUAUAGAUCCACCUAGAACUGAAAACACCAUAAAUUGGAAGCGCCUUUUGAUGUGGGAGUGUCAUAUAUCAAUCUGUUGAUUUCAUUGGUUAAGUUAUAAUAAACCAGCUGCUUGGCCUCAUGGCUUGGAACAUAGAUGGGAGGAGUAAACAGAAUAGAAUUCUGGGCGGAAGAGGAAGUGAGGUCAGACUCUGCUCGGCUCCCCGAAGAGACGCCAUGCUCAGCUCUCCCGGGUAGAUGCGAUAGCUCUGCUCUCUGAGGCACACGCGAUGAAGAUGGACAUAGGCUAGAAUCUUCCUGAAAAUGAACGCGGAAAAAGGCUGGUCCUUCCAAGGUUAGGAACCGCUGAACAAGACCGGAACAAAGUCGAAACACUUCGAGCACCGGCACAGCUUUAGGAAAGGAAUGUUCUUGACCUGGAGCAGCCUCGGAGAUCUCGGGACCGCUCCUGACACCACCAUACCUCUGCGGCGAGGAGGACUUUGCUUAAGCACCCGGUCGCCAGCAACACCGUCGAGGGAGGAGGACCCGCCGCUGGCAGCCGAUAGCCCCGCCCGCCUGCCUGGUCCGAAACGUCCGCGUGAUUGACAGCCCUACUAGCCCCACCCAUAUUCUUUCUGAGGAUUGGCUGCCCGCUUCUUCCUGUCCUGCCCCCUCCGAACGGCCCUCUGAUUGGCUACGGCUCUCUGGCCAGCCCCGCCCCGUUUCCUGGCGCUAGUACCCGCGCAGAGUGCCCCGCGCCGGUCUUUCCGUCCCCGGCUCGGAGGCUGAUACUCCGCAGCCAGGUCCCCAGCGCUCUCAGUCGUGCGGCAGCUUCGGACCCGAGCGCAGGAGGAAAACUACAAGAAAGAAACUCGUGAGCUGAAUGCCAGGAAGUCGAAGGGGGUGAUGCUCCAAGGUGAAGUAGUCUUCCCCUGCAGUGACACGGCUCGCCAGUGUCUUAGGAUUAUCGGCGUUGUAGCAGAUGGUGUCACCCACUUGAUCGAUGAGAUAGGUGCUGAAGCCCCAUUUUACAGGAAAGGAGACUGAGGGCCAUAUGAGAGAACCCCAGAAUAGCCUUAUAAUUGCACUGAAGAUGGCCUCCCCAAAAUACGUUUUUUAUUUUCUUUUUUUUUUUUUUUGUUCUGGUGGGGGAGGUUCGAGACAGGAUUUCUCUGUGCCUGGCUACCCUGGAACUCAAGACAUUAGCUUUCCUCUGUCUCCGAGUGCUGGAAUUAAAGGCCUAUGCCACCAUGCUUGGUUAUGAUAUGUUAGGGCUUUAAGCAAAGCUGGACAUUGGUGGCGCACACCUUUAAUCUCAGCUCUUGGGAGGCAGAGGCAGGUGGAUUUCUGUGAGUUCGAGGUCAGCCUGGUCUACAAAAGCUAGUUCCAGAACAGGCUCCAAAGCUACAGAGAAACCCUGUCUCAAACCAAAAAGAAAAACUGCAAACAAAAGGGGGAAGUAAAGGAGGACAGUCAGGCUAGAUCAUUGGGAUUUGCUGGGCUAGGAGGUGGUACUUGUGUCACCUUGCCUGCCAGGACAAGUUCUUUGCUAGCCCAGUCUGUGCCAGUAGUCCCGAUGUUAUUAACCCGUAAAUUGCUGUGUAUCACUUUCCAGAAUCUUAAAUAAAAGCUUUUCCUCUGCCGA